GCUAAAUACUCCUGACUGACCGAUAGUGAACCAGUACCGUGAGGGAAAGGCGAAAAGAACCCCGGCGAGGGGAGUGAAAAAGAACCUGAAACCGUGUACGUACAAGCAGUGGGAGCACCCUUUGGGUGUGACUGCGUACCUUUUGUAUAAUGGGUCAGCGACUUAUAUUCUGUAGCAAGGUUAACCGAAUAGGGGAGCCGGAGGGAAACCGAGUCUUAACCGGGCGUUAAGUUGCAGGGUAUAGACCCGAAACCCGGUGAUCUAGCCAUGGGCAGGUUGAAGGUUGGGUAACACUAACUGGAGGACCGAACCGACUAAUGUUGAAAAAUUAGCGGAUGACCUGUGGCUGGGGGUGAAAGGCCAAUCAAACCGGGAGAUAGCUGGUUCUCCCCGAAAGCUAUUUAGGUAGCGCCUCGUGAAUUCAUCUCCGGGGGUAGAGCACUGUUUCGGCUAGGGGGCCAUCCCGGCUUACCAACCCGAUGCAAACUGCGAAUACCGGAGAAUGUUAUCACGGGAGACACACGGCGGGUGCUAACGUCCGUCGUGAAGAGGGAAACAACCCAGACCGCCAGCUAAGGUCCCAAAGUCAUGGUUAAGUGGGAAACGAUGUGGGAAGGCCCAGACAGCCAGGAUGUUGGCUUAGAAGCAGCCAUCAUUUAAAGAAAGCGUAAUAGCUCACUGGUCGAGUCGGCCUGCGCGGAAGAUGUAACGGGGCUAAACCAUGCACCGAAGCUGCGGCAGCGACACUGUGUGUUGUUGGGUAGGGGAGCGUUCUGUAAGCCUGUGAAGGUGUGUCGUGAGGC
RNAcentral lists this ribosomal RNA (803 nucleotides) under Salmonella enterica. RNAcentral's name for it is "partial 23S ribosomal RNA". It matches the Rfam family "Bacterial large subunit ribosomal RNA", at positions 465 to 1269 of the family's 2925-position model. The record is from RNAcentral. Lineage: Bacteria; Pseudomonadati; Pseudomonadota; Gammaproteobacteria; Enterobacterales; Enterobacteriaceae.